Hypoxylon sp. EC38 is the source of this 121-nucleotide non-coding RNA. NCBI's taxonomy places the organism in Eukaryota, Fungi, Ascomycota, Sordariomycetes, Xylariales, Hypoxylaceae. The record is from the annotation of a GenBank genome assembly.
GGGCUUGUGGUUUAGUGGUAUAAUACUCCCUUAGCAUCUACAGCAUCUACAGCAUCUACGAUCACACAGAUCCUGUGGUAUGGCUUGGGAGUGGUCCGGGGUUCGAUUCCCCGCGAGUCCA